RNAcentral lists this ribosomal RNA (449 nucleotides) under uncultured bacterium. Its description in RNAcentral is "partial 16S ribosomal RNA". It matches the Rfam family "Bacterial small subunit ribosomal RNA", at positions 29 to 523 of the family's 1533-position model. The record is from RNAcentral.
AACGAACGCUGGCGGCAGGCCUAACACAUGCAAGUCGAGCGAGGACUUCGGUCCUAGCGGCGGACGGGUGAGUAACGCGUGGGAACGUGCCCCUUGGUACGGAAUAGCCCCGGGAAACUGGGAGUAAUACCGUAUGAGCUCUACGGAGGAAAGAUUUAUCGCCAAGGGAUCGGCCCGCGUUGGAUUAGGUAGUUGGUGGGGUAAUGGCCUACCAAGCCGACGAUCCAUAGCUGGUUUGAGAGGAUGAUCAGCCACACUGGGACUGAGACACGGCCCAGACUCCUACGGGAGGCAGCAGUGGGGAAUCUUAGACAAUGGGCGCAAGCCUGAUCUAGCCAUGCCGCGUGAGCGAUGAAGGCCUUAGGGUUGUAAAGCUCUUUCAGCUGGGAAGAUAAUGACUGUACCAGCAGAAGAAGCCCCGGCUAACUCCGUGCCAGCAGCCGCCGUAA